RNAcentral lists this ribosomal RNA (545 nucleotides) under uncultured bacterium. RNAcentral's name for it is "bacterial SSU rRNA". It matches the Rfam family "Bacterial small subunit ribosomal RNA", at positions 778 to 1314 of the family's 1533-position model. The record is from RNAcentral.
AUAGAUACCCGGGUAGUCCACGCCGUAAACGGUGGGCACUAGGUGUGGGCGACAUUCCACGUCGUCCGUGCCGCAGCUAACGCAUUAAGUGCCCCGCCUGGGGAGUACGGCCGCAAGGCUAAAACUCAAAGGAAUUGACGGGGGCCCGCACAAGCGGCGGAGCAUGUGGCUUAAUUCGACGCAACGCGAAGAACCUUACCAAGGCUUGACAUACACCGGAAACGUCCAGAGAUGGGCGCCCCCUUGUGGUCGGUGUACAGGUGGUGCAUGGCUGUCGUCAGCUCGUGUCGUGAAAUGUUGGGUUAAGUCCCGCAACGAGCGCAACCCUUGUCCCGUGUUGCCAGCAGGCCCUUGUGGUGCUGGGGACUCACGGGAGACCGCCGGGGUCAACUCGGAGGAAGGUGGGGACGACGUCAAGUCAUCAUGCCCCGUUAUGUCUUGGGCUGCACACGUGCUACAAUGGCCGGUACAAUGAGCUGCGAUACCGCGAGGUGGAGCGAAUCUCAAAAAGCCGGUCUCAGUUCGGAUUGGGGUCUGCAACUCCG